Bombyx mori (domestic silkworm) is the source of this 74-nucleotide non-coding RNA. The record is from Rfam. Lineage: Eukaryota; Metazoa; Arthropoda; Insecta; Lepidoptera; Bombycidae.
GGCCUAUUAGCUCAGGGGGUUAGAGCGUCGUGCUAAUAACGCGAAUGUCGUGGGUUCGAACCCCACAUAGGCCA